This 26-nucleotide non-coding RNA is filed under the name Mus musculus (house mouse). The record is from RNAcentral. Lineage: Eukaryota; Metazoa; Chordata; Mammalia; Rodentia; Muridae.
UCCUGCUGCUGGGAGCCUGAGUGCCA